CUAUCAUGGUAAAUAUGGUAAAACAGGCUCAUCUACCAUGGUGAAUAUGGUAAAACAGGUUCAUCUAUCAUGGUAAAACAGGCUCAUUUAUCAUGGUAAAUAUGGUAAAACAGGCUCAUCUAUCAUGGUAAAUAUGGUAAAACAGGCUCCAUCUAUCAUGGUAAAUAUGGUAAAACAGGCUCAUCUAUCAUGGUAAAUAUGGUAAAACAGGCUCAUCUAUCAUGGUAAAUAUGGUACAACAGGCUCAUCUAUCAUGGUAAAUAUGGUAAAACAGGCUCAUCUAUCAUGGUAAAUAUGGUAAAACAGGCUCAUCUAUCAUGGUAAAUAUGGUAAAACAGGCUCAUCUAUCAUGGUAAAUAUGGUAAAACAGGCUCAUCUAUCAUGGUAAAAAUGGAAAAACAGGCUCAUCUAUCAUGGUAAAUAUGGUAAAACAGGCUCAUCUAUCAUGGUAAAUAUGGUACAACAGGCUCAUCUAUCAUGGUGAAUAUGGUACAACAGGCUCAUCUAUCAUGGUAAAUAUGGUACAACAGGCUCAUCUAUCAUGGUGAAUAUGGUACAACAGGCUCAUCUAUCAUGGUAAAUAUGGUAAAACAGGCUCAUCUAGCAUGGUAAAUAUGGUACAACAGGCUCAUCUAUCAUGGUGAAUAUGGUACAACAGGCUCAUCUAUCAUGGUAAAUAUGGUAAAACAGGCUCAUCUAUCAUGGUAAAUAUGGUAAAACAGGCUCAUCUAUCAUGGUAAAUAUGGUAAAACAGGCUCAUCUAUCAUGGUAAAUAUGGUAAAACAGGCUCAUCUAUCAUGGUAAAUAUGGUAAAACAGGUUCAUCUAUCAUGGUAAAA
Molecule: non-coding RNA, 838 nt
Organism: Oncorhynchus mykiss (rainbow trout)
Lineage: Eukaryota; Metazoa; Chordata; Actinopteri; Salmoniformes; Salmonidae
Source: RefSeq, a predicted model, not a curated record